AUGAACGCUGGCGGCGUGCCUAAUACAUGCAAGUCGAGCGAACAGACGAGGAGCUUGCUCCUCUGACGUUAGCGGCGGACGGGUGAGUAACACGUGGAUAACCUACCUAUAAGACUGGGAUAACUUCGGGAAACCGGAGCUAAUACCGGAUAAUAUAUUGAACCGCAUGGUUCAAUAGUGAAAGACGGUUUUGCGGUCACUUAUAGAUGGAUCCGCGCCGCAUUAGCUAGUUGGUAAGGUAACGGCUUACCAAGGCAACGAUGCGUAGCCGACCUGAGAGGGUGAUCGGCGACACUGGAGCUGGGACACGGUCCAUGGUCCUACGGGAGGCAGCAGAAGGGAAUCUUCCGCAAUGGGCGAAAGCCUGACGGAGCAACGCCGCGUGAGUGAUGAAGGUCUUCGGAUCGUAAAACUCUGUUAUUAGGGAAAAACAAAUGUGUAAGUAGCUAUGCACGUCUUGACGGUACCUAAUCAGGAAGCCACGGCUAACUACGUG
RNAcentral lists this ribosomal RNA (496 nucleotides) under uncultured bacterium. RNAcentral's name for it is "partial 16S ribosomal RNA". It matches the Rfam family "Bacterial small subunit ribosomal RNA", at positions 29 to 507 of the family's 1533-position model. The record is from RNAcentral.